This 359-nucleotide unclassified non-coding RNA is filed under the name soil metagenome. RNAcentral describes it as "partial contains 5.8S ribosomal RNA, internal transcribed spacer 2, and large subunit ribosomal RNA". The stretch from base 1 to 120 matches the Rfam family "5.8S ribosomal RNA", at positions 35 to 154 of the family's 154-position model. The record is from RNAcentral.
GAUGAAGAACGUAGCGAAAUGCGAUAAGUAAUGCGAAUUGCAGAAUUCAGUGAAUCAUCGAAUCUUUGAACGCACAUUGCGCCCGCCAGUAUUCUGGCGGGCAUGCCUGUCUGAGCGUCGUUUCGACCCUCGCGCCCGGCUUCUGUCGGGGGCGGUGUUGGGGAUCGGCCACACCCUUCAGUGGGAGGCCGGCCCCUAAAUUCAGUGGCGACCACGCUGUAGCCUCCCCUGCGUAGUACUAAAACCACCUCGCAGGCGGAGAGCGGUGCGGCCCGCCGUAAAACCCCCCAACUUUUACAAGGUCGACCUCAGAUCAGGUAGGAAUACCCGCUGAACUUAAGCAUAUCAAUAAGCGGAGG